GAUGAAGAACGCAGCGAAAUGCGAUACGUAAUGUGAAUUGCAGAAUUCAGUGAAUCAUCGAGUCUUUGAACGCACAUUGCGCCCCCUGGUAUUCCGGGGGGCAUGCCUGUCCGAGCGUCAUUGCUGCCCUCAAGCACGGCUUGUGUGUUGGGCCUCCGCCCCCCGGCUCCCGGGGGGCGGGCCCGAAAGGCAGCGGCGGCACCGCGUCCGGUCCUCGAGCGUAUGGGGCUUCGUCACCCGCUCCGUAGGCCCGGCCGGCGCCCGCCGGCGACCCCCCUCAAUCUUUACAGGUUGACCUCGGAUCAGGUAGGGAUACCCGCUGAACUUAAGCAUAUCAAUAAGCGGAGGA
This 349-nucleotide unclassified non-coding RNA is filed under the name soil metagenome. RNAcentral's name for it is "partial contains 5.8S ribosomal RNA, internal transcribed spacer 2, and large subunit ribosomal RNA". The stretch from base 1 to 120 matches the Rfam family "5.8S ribosomal RNA", at positions 35 to 154 of the family's 154-position model. The record is from RNAcentral.